GUAGGUGGCAAGCGUUGUCCGGAAUUAUUGGGCGUAAAGCGCGCGCAGGCGGUCCUUUAAGUCUGAUGUGAAAGCCCACGGCUCAACCGUGGAGGGUCAUUGGAAACUGGGGGACUUGAGUACAGAAGAGGAAAGCGGAAUUCCAAGUGUAGCGGUGAAAUGCGUAGAGAUUUGGAGGAACACCAGUGGCGAAGGCGGCUUUCUGGUCUGUAACUGACGCUGAGGCGCGAAAGCGUGGGGAGCAAACAGGGAUUAGAUACCCUGGUAGUCCACGCCGUAAACGAUGAGUGCUAAGUGUUAGGGGGUUUCCCGCCCCUUAGUGCUGCAGCUAACGCAUUAAGCACUCCGCCUGGGGAGUACGGCCGCGAGGCUG
RNAcentral lists this ribosomal RNA (373 nucleotides) under uncultured organism. RNAcentral describes it as "partial 16S ribosomal RNA". It matches the Rfam family "Bacterial small subunit ribosomal RNA", at positions 527 to 896 of the family's 1533-position model. The record is from RNAcentral.